This 85-nucleotide transfer RNA is filed under the name Felis catus (domestic cat). It matches the Rfam family "tRNA". Rfam says of the family: Transfer RNA (tRNA) molecules are approximately 80 nucleotides in length. Their secondary structure includes four short double-helical elements and three loops (D, anti-codon, and T loops). The record is from Rfam by way of RNAcentral. Lineage: Eukaryota; Metazoa; Chordata; Mammalia; Carnivora; Felidae.
GCCUGGGUGGCUCAGUAGGUUGAGCGACUGGCUUCAGCUCAGGUCACGAUCUCACGGUUUGUGGGUUCGAGCCCCGCGUCAGGCU